This 429-nucleotide ribosomal RNA is filed under the name Actinomycetes bacterium. Its description in RNAcentral is "Actinobacteria bacterium partial 16S ribosomal RNA". It matches the Rfam family "Bacterial small subunit ribosomal RNA", at positions 355 to 776 of the family's 1533-position model. The record is from RNAcentral. Lineage: Bacteria; Bacillati; Actinomycetota; Actinomycetes.
UAGGGAAUCUUCCGCAAUGGGCGAAAGCUUGACGGAGCAACGCCGCGUGAGUGAUGAAGGUCUUCGGAUCGUAAAACUCUGUUAUUAGGGAAGAACAAAUGUGUAAGUAACUAUGCACGUCUUGACGGUACCUAAUCAGAAAGCCACGUCUAACUACGUGCCAGCAGCCGCGGUAAUACGUAGGUGGCAAGCGUUAUCCGGAAUUAUUGGGCGUAAAGCGCGCGUAGGCGGUUUUUUAAGUCUGAUGUGAAAGCCCACGGCUCAACCGUGGAGGGUCAUUGGAAACUGGAAAACUUGAGUGCAGAAGAGGAAAGUGGAAUUCCAUGUGUAGCGGUGAAAUGCGCAGAGAUAUGGAGGAACACCAGUGGCGAAGGCGACUUUCUGGUCUAUAACUGACGCUGAUGUGCGAAAGCGUGGGGAUCAAACAGG